Molecule: non-coding RNA, 110 nt
Filed under: Enterococcus rivorum
Lineage: Bacteria; Bacillati; Bacillota; Bacilli; Lactobacillales; Enterococcaceae
Description: THF-I sequence
Rfam family: THF (Tetrahydrofolate) riboswitch aptamer
About the family: THF riboswitch presents a pseudoknot that joins P1-P2 and the loop of P3 and two THF binding.
Source: Rfam by way of RNAcentral
AUCAGAGUAGGAAAUAAAGCGUUAAGUGCUGAAUAGAUGGGAUGUUGCUAUUUGGACGAAGGAUAAGUUAAACGAGGCUUAUACGCGGUUUUAUUUUCGCAUUCGCUGCA